RNAcentral lists this ribosomal RNA (1532 nucleotides) under seawater metagenome. Its description in RNAcentral is "bacterial LSU rRNA". It matches the Rfam family "Bacterial large subunit ribosomal RNA", at positions 441 to 1976 of the family's 2925-position model. The record is from RNAcentral.
AAUAUGGGGGGACCAUCCUCCAAGGCUAAAUACUCGUAAUCGACCGAUAGUGAACUAGUACCGUGAGGGAAAGGUGAAAAGAACCCCGGGAGGGGAGUGAAAUAGAUUCUGAAACCGUAUGCAUACAAACAGUAGGAGCCCUUCGGGGUGACUGCGUACCUUUUGUAUAAUGGGUCAGCGACUUACAUUCAGUAGCAAGCUUAACCGAUAGGGAAGGCGUAGCGAAAGCGAGUCCUAAUAGGGCGUCCUAGUUACUGGGUGUAGACCCGAAACCAAGUGAUCUAUCCAUGGCCAGGAUGAAGGUGCCGUAACAGGUACUGGAGGUCCGAACCCACAAAUGUUGAAAAAUUUGGGGAUGAGCUGUGGAUAGGGGUGAAAGGCUAAUCAAACUUGGAGAUAGCUGGUUCUCUCCGAAAACUAUUUAGGUAGUACCUCGUAUCUUACUCUCGGGGGUAGAGCACUGUUAUGGCUAGGGGGUCCUUAAGGACUUACCAAACCAUUGCAAACUCCGAAUACCGAGAAGUACAAUUACGGGAGACAGACAUCGGGUGCUAACGUCCGGUGUCAAGAGGGAAACAACCCAGACCGCCAGCUAAGGUCCCAAAUGAUAUGCUAAGUGGUAAACGAAGUGAGAAGGCCCAGACAGCCAGGAGGUUGGCUUAGAAGCAGCCACCCUUUAAAGAAAGCGUAAUAGCUCACUGGUCGAGUCGUCUUGCACGGAAGAUGUAACGGGGCUAAGCAUAUAACCGAAGCUGCGGAUGCGUGUUUACACGCAUGGUAGGAGAGCGUUCUGUAGGUCUGUGAAGGUGUUCUGUGAGGAAUGCUGGAGAUAUCAGAAGUGCGAAUGCUGACAUGAGUAGCGAUAAAGGGAGUGAAAGGCUCCCUCGCCGAAAGCCCAAGGUUUCCUGCGCAACGUUCAUCGGCGCAGGGUGAGUCGGCCCCUAAGGUGAGGCAGAAAUGCGUAGCCGAUGGGAAACAGGUUAAUAUUCCUGUACCUUAAUAUAAUGCGAUGUGGGGACGGAGAAGGUUAGGUCAGCCAAGUGUUGGAUAUCUUGGUUCAAGCGUGUAGGUAGAUUCUUUAGGCAAAUCCGGAGAGUCAAUACCGAGGCGUGAUAACGAGUGAACUUUGUUCAUGAAGUGAUUGAUACCAUGCUUCCAAGAAAAGCCACUAAGCUUCAGUUAUAUUGAGACCGUACCGCAAACCGACACAGGUGGGCAGGAUGAGAAUUCUAAGGCGCUUGAGAGAACUCUGGAGAAGGAACUCGGCAAAUUUGUACCGUAACUUCGGGAUAAGGUACGCCCUAUUAGGUUGAGACAAUUUACUUGUUAAGGCUGAACGGGUUGCAGUGAAAAGGUGGCUGCGACUGUUUAAUAAAAACACAGCACUGUGCUAACACGAAAGUGGAUGUAUACGGUGUGACGCCUGCCCGGUGCUCGAAGGUUAAAUGAUGGGGUGCAAGCUCUUGAUUGAAGCCCGAGUAAACGGCGGCCGUAACUAUAACGGUCCUAAGGUAGCGAAAUUCCUUGUCGGG